UUCAUGGGAGUUAACGCCAUUUUGAUGG
This 28-nucleotide non-coding RNA is filed under the name Rattus norvegicus (Norway rat). The record is from RNAcentral. Lineage: Eukaryota; Metazoa; Chordata; Mammalia; Rodentia; Muridae.